RNAcentral lists this ribosomal RNA (328 nucleotides) under uncultured eukaryote. Its description in RNAcentral is "partial 18S ribosomal RNA". It matches the Rfam family "Eukaryotic small subunit ribosomal RNA", at positions 1470 to 1796 of the family's 1831-position model. The record is from RNAcentral.
CCCUUAGAUGUUCUGGGCUGCACGCGCGCUACACUGAUGCACUCAACGAGUUUACGACCUUGCCCGAUAGGGUUGGGUAAUCUUUUUAAAAUGCAUCGUGAUGGGGAUAGAUUAUUGCAAUUAUUAAUCUUCAACGAGGAAUUCCUAGUAAGCGCGAGUCAUCAUCCCGCGCUGAAUACGUCCCUGCCCUUUGUACACACCGCCCGUCGCUCCUACCGAUUGAGUGGUCCGGUGAGGCUUUGGGAUCUGAGCAAAGAGAGCGUUUCGCUCGUUUUGCCCGGAAAACUCAGUCGAACCUUAUCAUUUAGAGGAAGGAGAAGUCGUAACA